This is a long non-coding RNA of Oxyura jamaicensis (ruddy duck), 2794 nucleotides long. RefSeq lists it as uncharacterized. The transcript has 2 exons. Lineage: Eukaryota; Metazoa; Chordata; Aves; Anseriformes; Anatidae. The record is from RefSeq and is a predicted model, not a curated record.
GUACAUCAGUUGUUUCUUUCACUUGUCUUAAAAUGCGUCAAUAGGCUUUAAGUCAUAACCUUGAUGUAUAAAUGCUGUGUUAAAAAUAGUUUGCCUGAAUGCAUAGUUUUCCAAACUAUAGGAAAAGGGGUACAUUCAACCCUGACUCUUCAUGGUUCACCAGAACUGCCACAAUUAGAGUUCAUUCUGAAUUGCUAAGGUAUGUUAGGAGACAGCAAAACAGGACUCUCAAAGCUCACAAGAUAGACAGCUACUCAAUGCUGUUGUCGUUGUUUUUCUCUACGUUGCUCAAUGUGUAGCUGUAGGCAUUACUUAUUGAACAGUAUUCCAGUCCCGCUCUGGAGAUGCGAUUGGAUUUCCUCAUGGGAUUCUCCAUAGUGCAUACUGCAGAGAACAUACUUACUCCAUGUAAAUAAAUAAGAAAAUUAACCUAAGUAAAUUAAACCUUACCAAAAAUAUUAGCACAAUUCAUAUCUACCUGAAUUGGGAUUCCACCUUAAUAAAAUUGUUUAAGGCUCCUUGUUCCCGGUGCACGCUUGAUGUAGUUCAGGGCAGUUGUCAUUUGUGAGCCAUCUGUAGAUAAUAGACAGCUCACAUUACCAUACAGUAAAUAUUUAAGAAUAAGCUUAGCUAAAUAUGUUUCCUCUGCUGGUGUCUGGACAACUAAUCUGCUGUAACUCUGCUUGUGCCUCCAUUUUCAUAUCCUACUAAAACAAAAAGACGAAUCCCACAGGUCUCUCAUUGUCUUUCACUCCCAAACUGGUGAGGCAUUUAAAGGCAGCUACUUCAGUGAUUCAAUACCUCAUAUCUAGUGUCUAUAAUAUGAGUAUGGUAGAUUGUAAAUGCAACCUCAUGGUGCCAAAAUUUAGUUAUCUUUUUACUUGGUGAAGUUGAAGGACUCAAGUUACUUCAGAAUUAGUAUUCAGUAUAUUUUCAAUAUGCAGAAAAUAUUUCAAGAAGCAGCUGCACAGUAAGGAAUUCAGAAGCAAUUCAAUUGAAAGAAGACAGUUGGUGUUCAAGUCAGAGAUGUUCGUGAUCAGGAAGUGUCGCUGUUCACACUCUGCUCCCGUCUCCCAUCCAAACAAUGGAUAUGCAUGAGCACAAUUAAAGUGAAAAGAAAGUUUUUUUUUACUGUUCUAUGUUAUCCUCUUCACAACACCAAUGGGUCAGUGUCACUCAUACCAUGCAUAACUUAGCCAAGGUUAAGGAAGUAAUUCCAAGCUUACAGUACUAUAAAAAUAUUCGGAAUAUAACUGAGAAUCUUUUAAGUAAAUUGUAGCCUGUAGAGUCUCAAUUACUAAUUGAUUCCCAUAGCUGUCUCUCUCGCAUACCACUAUUUCCUAAUGAUAUAAGCAGUCCCACCCAAAUCCUUUCAAACUGAUCACCUUACUUUCAGACCUAAGGAUAACUCAAAAAGAUCAGGAGUAGCCAGGUUAAUCUUAAGGAACCAAAAUUUGGAGCCCUUAAUUAUCUUGUGGAGUGAUUUAGUAAUCAGAUUGGAGUCACAGGGAGAAUCAGCUUAAUAACCAAAGAGGAAGACUGAAUGAAUGAACUGAGUAAAACUUUAAGGGCAACGGAUUCAUUUUCAUUCUGAAUAUUGAAUGGAUUCAGUGAUUAAGUCAAAUUACUUCUAGGCUUUCUUUUUCAAAGGCUUUUUUCAAGAGUAUUUUUCUCUCCUUCAGAGUUUUCCUUUUUUACCCAUCAUCAGAAAGAUUCUACUUAUUUUCACGUAACUUUAUAUGCCAUUUUCUACAUAUCCCUCCAAAUGAAAAGUGGCAUUUCUUACUCCUCCUACAAGAAGGAUGCAUCUAUUUCUCAAUACAAGCCCCGUUCUUCUAACUCCAAGAACAAAAGAUUUAUCUUGGCCAAAUGCAAAGUGUUUUUAUUUAACAGUGAAACCUGUCUUCCUUUCAAAUUUGAAAACUAAUGACUCUAUGUAAAACUCCAUGUCCUUCCUGACAUAUGUUCAGUGGCUGUGUUUCCAUUAUGGUUUAUGACCAAAUCCACAUAGUUGUCGUUUCUUGAUUCAUAUUACGAAACAGGAAGACCCAUCAAGAAUUGGCACUGAACUGCAACAAGAUGCAAGCCAUUUUAUUUUUCACACAUAAGCACAGUGGGUAAAUGCAGCAAGGUGGUGACCUUGCAGUAUGUUCUGCAAAGACCAAUAAUCCUGCAAGCAACCAGUGAAGUUCAAAAGCUUUUAUGAGAGGCUGAAUCUUCACACUGAUGUGAUUUUUGCUGCUUCAUUGGUUGAAUGAAUGGUGCAGUCUCUUGCCUGGAUUUUUCAUCUAAAACUUCCAGACAUACAAAGGCUUGCCUGUUCCCUAACACAUUUGGCCAGAAGCAGUAGCAGCAAUAUUGGCAAGAAGUUCAUCCAGAUGCAAACUACUCGCAGGCAGAAUAUAAAGAUGAAGGCUCUAAAGAAUUUUUCCUCCCAUCAUGGCAAUUAGCAACUGGUUUGCUGUAAAUGUUUUGUGUACCGAAUGAUGCAGAAGCUCUUAUAUCUCAGGUAAAGAGCAGAUCUGUAGCGGCAAAGUUUUUAUCCAAUUUUGUUCUCAAACACUUUACCCACGAAAAACUAGUGGGGGGAAUUGCACAGUUGCCCCAGGAAAUAGGAAAUAUAGGAAAUGUAAUUGCUUUAAGUUCACCAGAAUUUGAAUUCAAACCAAAAUUCACAUAGACAACUGGUCUUUCAAGUGGCAUUUUUAAUAUUUUAUUCAAAAUAUAUCAAUAUGUAUAUAUAUAUAUAUAUAUAAUCAGAAAGGCCUUAAAGUCAUUCUGAAAAAAAAAAAAA